AUGGCGCUCCUCCACCUCCUCUCCCUGCUCCUACUCUGCCCGGAGCCGGCGCUGGCGGGGGACCCGUUCGCCUACUUCGACUGGGAGGUCUCGUACCAGUCGGCCCGCCCGCUGGGCGUGGCGCAGAAGGUCAUCGCCAUCAACGGCCAGUUCCCGGGGCCGCCGCUGAACGUGACCACCAACUGGAACGUGGUGGUGAACGUCCACAACGCCCUCGACGAGCCGCUCCUCCUCACCUGGCACGGCCUCCAGCAUCGCAAGAACUCGUGGCAGGACGGCGUCGCCGGCACCAAUUGCCCCAUCCCCGCCGGCUGGAACUGGACCUACCGCUUCCAGGUCAAGGACCAGGUCGGCAGCUUCUUCUACUCCCCCUCGGCCGCGGCGCUCCACCGCGCCGCCGGCGGGUACGGCGGCAUCGUCGUCAACAACCGCGACGUCAUCCCCAUCCCCUUCCCCUUCCCGGACGGCGGCGACCUCACGCUCUUCAUCGGCGACUGGUACGUCAGGUCCCACAAGGACCUCCGCAGGUCCCUGGACUCCGGCGCGCCCCUGGGGCCCCCCGACGGCGUGCUCGUCAACGGGCUGGGGCCCUACCGCUACAACGACUCCAUCGUGCCGCCGGCGAUCACCUACGAGAGGAUCAAUGUCGAGCCUGGGAGGACCUACAGGCUGCGGGUGCACAACGUGGGGGUCUCCACCAGCCUGAAUUUCAGGAUCCAGGGACACAGCCUGCUGCUCGUGGAGACCGAGGGCUCCUACACCUCGCAGCAGAACUACAGCAACAUGGACAUCCAUGUCGGUCAGUCCUACUCCUUCCUGGUCACCAUGGAUCAGAACGCCAGCACCGACUACUACGUCGUCGCCAGCGCCCGCUUCGUCGCCGACCCCGGCGCCGUCAAUAAGCUCACUGGCGUGGCCAUUCUGCAUUACUCCAACUUCCAGGGCCCGGCCUCUGGCCCUCUCCCUCCUCCCCCUGACGACCAGUAUGACACUGCAUUCUCCAUAAACCAAGCCAGAUCCAUCAGGUGGAAUGUUACCGCCAGCGGCGCCCGCCCCAAUCCGCAGGGUUCAUUCCAUUAUGGCGACAUUACGGUGACCGAUGUGUACUUGUUGCAGAGUCGGCCGCCCGAGCUCAUAGACGGGCAACUGCGUUCUACUAUCAAUGGUUUAUAUUAUAAGUCAUGUACCCCUUUGUAUUUAUCUCAUUGUAUAAGUGGUUUCCUGCAUAUGUUCCACACCUGUACAUGUAUAUAUAUCGGCCUAUGGCCUCAUGGGAAUACAAGUUGCAUAUUCCUAACAAAUGGGGUUGCUCCUUCCACUCCAUUGAUACUUGCACAACUAUUCAAUGUCCCGGGAGUUUUCAAAUUGGAUUUCCCUAAUCAUCCGAUGAAUAGACUGCCAAAAGUCGACACAUCGGUUAUAAAUGGCACCUACAAAGGCUUUAUGGAGAUUAUAUUCCAAAACAACGCCACGACCGUGCAGAGCUAUCACUUGGAUGGAUAUGCAUUCUUUGUUGUUGGGAUGGACUAUGGAUUGUGGACCGACAACAGUCGAGGUACCUACAACAAAUGGGAUGGUGUUGCACGGUCAACAAUCCAGGUAUUCCCCGGUGCUUGGACUGCUGUGCUCGUGUUCCUGGACAAUGCAGGGAUAUGGAAUUUGCGCCUGGAGAACCUGGACAGCUGGUACAUGGGCCAAGAACUGUACAUAAGCGUGGUGAACCCAGAGGAAGACCACAGCGACAAGACUCCGCUUCCUCUUCCGGAUAACACAAUUUUCUGCGGCGCGCUCUCGAGCCUACAGAAAGAACAGUCUCAUAGGUUCCAGUACUCGGGAGCUUCACGGGUUGGGAAGACGGUGUCUGCGGCGAUGAUCUCGACGACAUGGUUGGCUGCUACCUGGUUGCUGUAUAGAUAG
RNAcentral lists this ribosomal RNA (1917 nucleotides) under Triticum aestivum (bread wheat). RNAcentral describes it as "partial small subunit ribosomal RNA". Lineage: Eukaryota; Viridiplantae; Streptophyta; Magnoliopsida; Poales; Poaceae. The record is from RNAcentral.